AGCAGCCGCGGUAAUUCCAGCUCCAAUAGCGUAUAUUAAAGUUGUUGCAGUUAAAAAGCUCGUAGUUGAAUUUCGGGAUCAAUUUGCUGGUCGUGCCUUCGGUACGCACUGGUAUUAUUGGUUUCUCCUUUCUGAUGAAUCGCGAUGUCAUUAAUUUGGUGUCGUGGGGAAUCAGGACCGUUACUUUGAAAAAUUAGAGUGUUUAAAGCAGGCUCACGCUUGAAUACAUUAGCAUGGAAUAAUGAAAUAGGACGUUUGAUUCUAUUUUGUUGGUUUCUAGGAUCGACGUAAUAAUUAAUAGGGAUAGUUGGGGGCAUUAGUAUUCAAUUGUCAGAGGUGAAAUUCUUGGAUUUAUUGAAGACUAACUACUGCGAAAGCAUUUGCCAAGGAUGUUUUCAUUAAUCAAGAACGAAAGUUAGGGGAUCGAAGACGAUCAGAUACCGUCGUAGUCUUAACCAUAAACUAUGC
This 468-nucleotide ribosomal RNA is filed under the name uncultured Glomus. RNAcentral's name for it is "SSU rRNA". It matches the Rfam family "Eukaryotic small subunit ribosomal RNA", at positions 569 to 1042 of the family's 1831-position model. The record is from RNAcentral. Lineage: Eukaryota; Fungi; Glomeromycota; Glomeromycetes; Glomerales; Glomeraceae.